CUCCAUAAACAGCUCUCAUCUCCAUGACAUUUCUUACUGUAGACCAGUUGACACCAAUUCCAUUCAGAUAUGAGCGAUAAAUAACAUUUUUCCAAUGCUUGUAAUCAGCAGUGAAUUCCACUGGAGCAGCUCUUCCAUAAAAACCAGACUGGGAGUCUAACCAAUAAGGUGCUUUCUCCAACCUCAGUGGCCAUUGCUCAGGCCAGACCGAUCCACGCUCUGAUGCUCCUUCGGGCACUUUGUGCAUGCAAUCCUGUAGUGAUAUAUUCCUGAAGAUAUGAAUGUUGGAAUAUGUCAUGAAACUUAGUAGAGAUCCUUCAUAAAAAAGGAAUCAUCUUCAACUAAACACUACCAACGCCACUUCUUUAGGGUUUUUUUUCUUAAAAAGGAGGUUUUUCAAUGAAAAAAAUCACUUCUGAAAUUUAUAUGAUUCUUUAGUUGGGUUUUUUCAAAAAACAAUUAUAUGAAUAAAAAAAUGAAAUUUAGCUUCUAGAAGUACAAAUACAUUUUUGGAGAGUCAUUGUUUUGAGGAUCUUAAACAAACAUCCCAUAAAGGUCAAGCCUAGAAGAAAGGGUAUGAAAAAAUUAUACUUCAAUUUACUUUAGCAUUAAGAAUCUUAUUCUUUUUCUCAAGUUAUAUACACACACAGAAUGGCUAUAAUAGGGAGUUUUACAAUUUCUCUAAGCACCCUUGUUGGGGAAUAGGUUAUGACAACAUGCUCUUUUAAAUCUAGUGCUAGGCAUGGUAACCUCCAAGACCAACAAAUUACUAUUGUAAAACUUCUAAGAAAAAAAUCAUUUAUCUCCAAACAAAAAUAUGCUCAUGAAUUUUGACUAGAAGAAACUGAUUUUAAGUAUAUGUCAACAAUAAUUACUUACAAAACUCAUACUUUUUUGUAUAUAGACUCCAGUUCUUUUGGAUUUUUGUAAUGUUAUUGCCAUUUUUUAGAUUUCUGGGUAUUCUUACUAGGAAAGUUUCAAAACAUUAGUUCCCUUCCUCCUAUUUGAGAAGGUGAUUUUAAUUUGUCUAUUGCCAAAACAAGAAAAGUACCAGGCCUUAUUUGGGUCAUCAGAUUCAUUGCACAUUGGCGGCUCAUUUUUCAGUCUUCUGUAAUAGCAUUCAUUGUCGGUUGGUUUUCUAUAUAUUGCUGCUGCAAUUCCAUUCAAUUUGUCCUUUCCAAUUACCACCAGAUCCCAGCACAUUGACUUUGUAAUUUUACUCAUAUCUGCAACAAAAUGAUUUUCUAUAAAAUCAACCCAUAGGUUCAUCUUUUAGAGUGACAUGAACUUGGAUUUAGUGGAUUUUUACCUUUCCAAAUCCCAACAUCUUCUGGAUCCUUUUGAUACACUGGAGUAGCAGACCACACAAAGUAACCUCCGGGUCGCAAGACACGAUUAAGCUCUAAGAGUAGCUUGCCACCUGCAUAAUUCAACCAGCAGAUUAUUACUAGAUGAGUCAAGUAUAGAUGGGAAAAUAAAAAUACUGAGAAUUUUUCUUAACCAACAUGCUUAUUACACCUUCUUCAUGCCAAGGGACUCUACAGCGUGCACAGUGGAGUAGAUCAAAGACCGAACCAGGGAAGGGCAAUCUUUUGGUUCCCAUGACACCUAGUGUGGCAGGAAUUCCCCGUUCCAGCGCAAAUUGUACUUGUGCCUCAUGCACAUCUUUAGGAGCAAAUGACAUGGUAAGAACGUCUUUUUCAAACAAAUAGCCUCCAAAACUGGCUACACCACACCCAACGUCCAAUAUCACACGGCUUCUUUUCCCCCAUGCAAUACUAGGAAGAGACUGCAUUGUCACACAAAUCACCCAAUUUAGGGAGAGAAAAUAUAUAUGAAUAAAAGGAGGAUGGGCUGGCUAAGACAUGAUUAAUUUUCGAGACAAUGUAGUAAAAAAUUUACUGAACUCACUGCAUCUAAAGGUCACAGAAAGUCGGAAACAAAUUUAUCAAAAAGAAGGAAGUGUUAUGUGGCGUAUUGAAAUUAAAUUGAAAGCGAAAAAAAGAGAGACAGUUCAUUCUAUAAUGCAGAACUUACACUUGGAAAUGUUUGCAACUAACUAGAGAAGCUUACAGGUUUGAUGUGAAGGAAAAGUAGGACAAGAGAUGGAUAAUGUAAUGGAUGUUAACUUGAUAAGUUGCAUGACCAAUGAGAAGUAGGUGCAUUCAAAAGUAGAAUACAGAAAUGUAUACACACAAAAAAAGCCGAAAGUUAUUAAUUAGCAUUUGGAAGAGGGGAAUUUUAGAGAAUUCUUGGUAACCUGGGAACCAGAAUACAGAAAAGAACAAAGAAUAUCUUACCCUCCAUAAACAGCUCUCAUCUCCAUGACAUUUCUUACUGUAGACCAGUUGACACCAAUUCCAUUCAGAUAUGAGCGAUAAAUAACAUUUUUCCAAUGCUUGUAAUCAGCAGUGAAUUCCACUGGAGCAGCUCUUCCAUAAAAACCAGACUGGGAGUCUAACCAAUAAGGUGCUUUCUCCAACCUCAGUGGCCAUUGCUCAGGCCAGACCGAUCCACGCUCUGAUGCUCCUUCGGGCACUUUGUGCAUGCAAUCCUGUAGUGAUA
RNAcentral lists this long non-coding RNA (2565 nucleotides) under Lupinus angustifolius (narrow-leaved blue lupine). Its description in RNAcentral is "long non-coding RNA (LANG_LNC002348)". Lineage: Eukaryota; Viridiplantae; Streptophyta; Magnoliopsida; Fabales; Fabaceae. The record is from RNAcentral.